RNAcentral lists this transfer RNA (72 nucleotides) under Sphaerodactylus townsendi. Its description in RNAcentral is "tRNA-Pro". Lineage: Eukaryota; Metazoa; Chordata; Lepidosauria; Squamata; Sphaerodactylidae. The record is from RNAcentral.
GGCAGAGCAGUACAAUGGUUAGGGUGUUGGACUGGGAUGUGGGAGAGCCAGGUUCAAACCCUGCCUCUGUCA